GAUGAACGCUAGCUACAGGCUUAACACAUGCAAGUCGAGGGGAAACGACAUCGAAAGCUUGCUUUUGAUGGGCGUCGACCGGCGCACGGGUGAGUAACGCGUAUCCAACCUGCCCAUCACUUGGGGAUAACCUUGCGAAAGUAAGACUAAUACCCAAUGAUAUCUCUAGAAGACAUCUGAAAGAGAUUAAAGAUUUAUCGGUGAUGGAUGGGGAUGCGUCUGAUUAGCUUGUUGGCGGGGUAACGGCCCACCAAGGCAACGAUCAGUAGGGGUUCUGAGAGGAAGGUCCCCCACAUUGGAACUGAGACACGGUCCAAACUCCUACGGGAGGCAGCAGUGAGGAAGAUUGGUCAAUGGGCGAGAGCCUGAACCAGCCAAGUAGCGUGCAGGAAGCCGGCCCUAUGGGUUGUAAACUGCUUUUAGAAGGGAAUAAAGUGAGAGUCGUGACUCUUUUUGUAUAUACCUUAUGAAUAAGGACCGGCUAAUUCCGUG
This 492-nucleotide ribosomal RNA is filed under the name uncultured bacterium. RNAcentral's name for it is "partial 16S ribosomal RNA". It matches the Rfam family "Bacterial small subunit ribosomal RNA", at positions 28 to 507 of the family's 1533-position model. The record is from RNAcentral.